Molecule: ribosomal RNA, 2014 nt
Filed under: Triticum aestivum (bread wheat)
Lineage: Eukaryota; Viridiplantae; Streptophyta; Magnoliopsida; Poales; Poaceae
Description: partial small subunit ribosomal RNA
Source: RNAcentral
GUUCAGCUUCCUUCCUUCCACACAGAGCUGAUCCACAAACACUCACACUGCCAUUGCGCCACAGCACCAGAACUUUUCAGCCUGUACACCUGCGCCACACAAACCCCCACCAAUAACAACCGGAAGAUAACAGAAAAAGAAAAAAACCAAAAAAGCGAAAGCUCCAAGCCUACCUCUACUGAGAGGAAGAAGCGGCAGCGGCAGCCGCAGCAAUGGCAGCAGCCGCUCUCCAGUGCUGCCCUCUGCUGAGCUCACCGCCGGCAUCAUCCAUCUUGCCGCCUUCCUCUGUAAGAACACCGGCGGUUAGCAGGACAGGGGAGGCCAGGACGAGGAGGCUGCAGCGAUGCCGCUGUUCCCAGUCUGCCGAGGGGCGAUCGCCGGGUAGCUCGCCACCGCAGCUGGAGCGCCUCUUCUCCAAUGUCAACCAGGCCACCAUGAAGCACGAGCCUGGGAGUAUCACCGGUUCCGUCUUCCUUGUGGCCGGCACAACGGUCGGGGCAGGUAUCCUCGCGAUCCCUGCCGUCACACAAGAAGCUGGAUUCUUGGCCUCAGCAGUCACAUGCGUUUUCUGCUGGACAUAUAUGGUAAUAGAAUCAGAAUUGACUGGGUAAACUAUCAAACCCGAUGUAUUAGAGGUGACAUGCAGUCAGAGAAGCCUCUCAAAGGUUGUAACAGGGCUGUUAGUUGCUGAAGUAAAUGUCAAUACAAUGUGUGAACUAGGAUCUGGAAGUGUCUCGCUGGUUUCAAUGGCCAAGCGCACUCUAGGGACAGCUGGAGUAAGAACAGUUUGCUUUUCAUAUUUGUUUAUACAUUAUGCACUUCUUGUUGCGUAUGUGGCACGCUCUUCAGAGAUCUUAACGAACUCACUGGGCAUUCCAUUAUGGGAGAGUGCCACCCUGUUUUCACUGGCUUUUGGUGGACUAUGUUACUUCGGAAGUCAGCGAGUCAUUGGUGCCGUGAAUGGUUUUUUGGUGUUCAGUAUCAUAGCAUCCUUCACACUUCUUGUGGUGGUGGCAAGUGGAAACAUACAGUGGAGUUCUCUUCUCGAAACGAAUUUUGCUGCUGCUCCCCAAAGUAUACCAAUAAUUUCUCUUUCAUUUGUAUAUCAGAAUGUAGUUCCUGUUCUCUGCACAAAUUUGGAGGGAGACCUGUCAAAAGUAAGGAAGGCCAUUGUAUUAGGUACUGCCAUACCCCUUGCUCUGUUUCUCGUAUGGGAUGCUGUCAUCCUGGGGACAAUCCCGGGGUUUGCAGAAAGUGGGGCUAUUACUGAUCCGCUACAACAACUUAGGUCAAGCAAUGGUACAGUGGGGCCUAUUGUUGAGGCAUUCUCAUUUCUGGCAAUAGGCACAUCAUACAUCGGAUUUGUUCUGGGACUCACAGACUUCAUCGCAGACUUGCUCAAACUACCAAGUGGACAGAACAAACCUCUGACAUACCUUGUAACUUUGUUCCCUCCGCUUGUUCUGUCACUGCUUGAUCCAGAGAUAUUUUUCAAGGCAUUGGACUUUGCAGGAACUUAUGGAGUUCUAGUACUCUUUGGAGUUUUCCCUGCAGCUAUGUCUUGGUCAGAGAGAUACUCAAAUGACUUGGAAGCUCCUAUAUCCCCUAUAGUCCCAGGAGGAAAAUUAACCCUCUCAUUUGUUAUGGGGGGUGCCUUGCUUGUAAUAUUUUCAGAGGUUUUCAAGGACAUAAUGCAGUUACAAGGACUACAUUGACAAUCAUGAUGUGCAAAGCUCCACUACUGAUGCUUCUGCAGAUUUUUGUGCAAUGUUGCUAAUAAGAGGUAUUAACACAUCCAAAAGAGAAUAGUAGCCUUUCUUAACCCCUUCGGCAGUUUCAUCAAGAUAUUCUUGUUUUUUUUUUUUGAGAAAUGUCAAGUUGAGUUGUGUUGUAAAUAUUUACCAUAUACCACUUUUUCUAGUAUAUAUUUAUCAAUAGGGUCCUCUCCUACUGCUACUUUACAUAAUGCUAUGCGUGAGUUGUAUAACCUAAGUAUUCUUUAUUUAUUUUUAUC